UACGUACGAGGCAAGCGUUAUCCGGAAUUACUGGGCGUAAAGAGCUCGUAGGCGGUUUGUCGCGUCUGCCGUGAAAGUCCGGGGCUCAACUCCGGAUCUGCGGUGGGUACGGGCAGACUAGAGUGAUGUAGGGGAGACUGGAAUUCCUGGUGUAGCGGUGAAAUGCGCAGAUAUCAGGAGGAACACCGAUGGCGAAGGCAGGUCUCUGGGCAUUAACUGACGCUGAGGAGCGAAAGCAUGGGGAGCGAACAGG
RNAcentral lists this ribosomal RNA (253 nucleotides) under uncultured bacterium. RNAcentral's name for it is "partial 16S ribosomal RNA". It matches the Rfam family "Bacterial small subunit ribosomal RNA", at positions 524 to 776 of the family's 1533-position model. The record is from RNAcentral.